Molecule: long non-coding RNA, 230 nt
Filed under: Eutrema salsugineum
Lineage: Eukaryota; Viridiplantae; Streptophyta; Magnoliopsida; Brassicales; Brassicaceae
Description: long non-coding RNA (ESAL_LNC000521)
Source: RNAcentral
CAAGCCCAACCUAGUUUAACCUGGCUGACUUGAAGAUGGCGGACCAAAGAGGCUGACCUGAAGAUAGCAGACCCAAGGUGGCUAAGGUGGAAGUUCAAGUGGAGAGGCAAGCUGAUGGAAGGCUAUGAAUCAAUUCCAAAGUCUUUGCGAGUGCCUUUGGUGUAAGAAGCUGAAGAUCGGAUGUGCACAAGAUGUCAAGAUCUAUUUUGCACAAGGUUUCAAGGCUCAAG